CCCGAACCCCGGCGAUCUAGGCAUGGCCAGGUUGAAGGUGCGGUAACACGCACUGGAGGACCGAACCGGUGAAUGUUGAAAAAUUCUCGGAUGAGCUGUGUUUAGGGGUGAAAGGCCAAUCAAGCCGGGAAAUAGCUGGUUCUCCGCGAAAUCUAUUGAGGUAGAGCGUCAGAUGUAUGCCGAUGGGGGUAGAGCACUGGAUGGGCUAGGGCUGCGCGAGCGGUACCAAACCUAACCAAACUCCGAAUACCAUCGAGUCUUGUCUGGCAGACAGACGGCGGGUGCUAAGGUCCGUCGUCAAAAGGGAAACAGCCCUAACCUACAGCUAAGGUCCCCAAGUCAUAUCUAAGUGGGAAAGCAUGUGGGAAUCCCAAAACAACCAGGAGGUUGGCUUAGAAGCAGCCAUCCUUUAAAG
This 415-nucleotide ribosomal RNA is filed under the name Pteridomonas danica. RNAcentral describes it as "partial Bacterial large subunit ribosomal RNA". It matches the Rfam family "Bacterial large subunit ribosomal RNA", at positions 714 to 1128 of the family's 2925-position model. Lineage: Eukaryota; Dictyochophyceae; Pedinellales. The record is from RNAcentral.